UGCAAGGUCUUGUCUGCUUUACGAAAACUACACAAAAUCUAUUCAGAAUAUAAAAAUAUUGUAAUUAAUGCUGGACUCUCCAGCAGAUGAAAUGUUUAAUGAGCAUGCACAUCUACAAAUGUCAGCGGUGCACCUGAUAAGCCAACAGACGCUGACAGCAGCAGUCAAAGUGAGAACACUGAGCAUAGUGAUUCAAGUGAUGAGACUGAAACUACUGCACAACAGCACUCGGGUUUUGCCUUGGAUACAUGUCUUGGUCAGCAGUUGUUGUCUUAUGAUGAUGGAAUAUUUUGCAAUGCUCCAGGAGAGAGAACCGAGCAAGGAGGCAGAGUGACGUCCUCAGAGGAAUAGGAAGGUGAAGCGAUGUCCUCAGUUGAGCAGGAAGGCACAGCGACGUCCUCAGCGGAGUAGGGAGGCAGAGUAACAUCCUCAGUGGAGUAGGAAGGAGGAGCAACGUCCAAUAUGGAGCCGGGUGUAGUGAUGUAGACCAAGGUAAGUAGGGAGACAGAGUGACGCCCAUGGGGAGGCUGUGAUCUGUAAUGUCGUUUCUUAAGGCGGGGGUUCUGCUCAUCCACACAUGAAACUUGGACAACUAUUCUCUCACCUUGCAAGUCUAUGGACCAGUAGGUUAUUUUGUAAACUGUCUCUUGAAACAGCUAAUAUGCAACAGAUAGUGUAGGCCAGAGUGUGCCACCAUUAUAAAAUUAACAUUCAUAACAUCAAUGAAAUCCUCAAAACAUUUUAUGAAUCUUGCUUUAAUAAUGUUCUUCUUUUGUUAUUAUGAAACAUUGUGCCAGUGUUUUAUAAAAGAACAUUCUGUUACCUCAAUAAUGUCCUCA
Molecule: long non-coding RNA, 839 nt
Organism: Ictalurus punctatus (channel catfish)
Lineage: Eukaryota; Metazoa; Chordata; Actinopteri; Siluriformes; Ictaluridae
Source: Ensembl